Y RNA from Callithrix jacchus (white-tufted-ear marmoset), 101 nucleotides. It matches the Rfam family "Y RNA". From Rfam's summary of the family: Y RNAs are components of the Ro ribonucleoprotein particle (Ro RNP), in association with Ro60 and La proteins. NCBI's taxonomy places the organism in Eukaryota, Metazoa, Chordata, Mammalia, Primates, Cebidae. The record is from Ensembl.
GGCUGGUCCGAGCGUGUGGUGUUUACGACUAAUUGGUCACAACCAGUUACAGAUCUCUUCGUUCCUUCUCCACUCCCCCUGCUUCACUUGACUAGCGUAAA